GCAUUAAAGCAACAACUAAAAUCCCGAAACCAUAUGAGCUGAAAUAUAUUGUCAAGCACCCACCACUUAAUGUCUCAAUAUUAAAGGAAAAUUAUAAUUCAGGGGCUACAUACCUACCGCAUAUGGAAAUAGCUGGUUUUUCACUUUCCCAGCACAAACUGAUCAAACUGAAUAAAAAUUAAUAACUUCUCUCAGUUAUAUAAAAAGAUAGAGGAUAAGCUCAAUCUUACUACUUAUUUAAAUAAAAGACCCAAAUAAAAGUAGGCUUAGAAACAGCCACCCAACAUUCCGUUACAGCACCAAAAACCCAAUAAUUAAACACAAAUUAAAUAAAUGAAAUAUAAAAUAAACCCAAAAUUUUAAAACCUAUGCAAGGAUUAGUAUUAUAAACAAAAGUAAAGAAGGAACUCGGCAAAUAAAGGCUCCGACUGUUUAUCAAAAACAUAGCCUAUUGUAAGUAAAAUAAUAGGUAACCCCUGCCCAGUGAAAUAUUCAACGGCCGCGGUACCCUGACCGUGCAAAGGUAGCAUAAUCAUUUGCCUUUUAAUUAAAGGCUAGCAUGAAUGGACAAACGAAAGCCUCUCUGUCUCCUUUUCUAGCAUAAAAAUUUACCUUUAGGUGAAGAGGCCUACAUAUAUAUAAAAGACAAGAAGACCCUGUCGAGCUUUAAUCUCCCAAACAAAGCUAAAAUGCUUAAUCAUAAUACAGAUUUUUGCUGGGGCGGCAAAGGAAUAAAUAAAACUUCCUGUAUAACAAAGAAACUUAUUCUCUCAAAUGACCCAUAAAUUGAUCAACAAAUAUAGCUACCGCAGGGAUAACAGACUAAUCUUCCUUAAGAGCCCAAAUCUACAGGAAGGAUUGGCACCUCGAUGUUGGCUUAGGGACUCUUCUAGAUGCAGCAAUCUAAAAAGAGGGUUUGUUCAACCCUUAAUUCCCUACAUGAG
RNAcentral lists this ribosomal RNA (944 nucleotides) under Leodice miurai. RNAcentral's name for it is "partial 16S ribosomal RNA". The stretch from base 367 to 944 matches the Rfam family "Archaeal large subunit ribosomal RNA", at positions 1423 to 2673 of the family's 2987-position model. Lineage: Eukaryota; Metazoa; Annelida; Polychaeta; Eunicida; Eunicidae. The record is from RNAcentral.